GAUGAACGCUGGCGGCAUGCCUAACACAUGCAAGUCGAGCGGAUGGACGGAACUUUCUCUUGUAUUCUGCUGCGGACGGGUGAGUAAUUCAUAGGAAGCUACCUUGUAUUUAGGGAUAACAUCAGUUAACGGACGCUAAUAUCACAUCGGUUCAUAUUUGGAACGGGGGGGUUCUUCGGACCUCGCCCUAUCAGAUGUCCCUAGUAGGUAUUAGCUAGUUGGUGGGGUAACGGCCUACCAUGGCAACGAUCCAUAACUAAUCUGAGAGGAUGAUCUGUCACACUGGAACUGAGACACGGUCCAGACUCCUACGGGAGGCAGCAGUGGGGAAUAUUGGACAAUGGGCGGAAGCCUGAUCCAGCAAUGCCGCGUGUGUGAAGAAGGUCUUCGGAUUGUAAAGCUCUUUUAGUUGGGAGGAAGAGAAGUAAGUUAAUACGUUGCUGUUUUGACGUUACCAACAGAAUAAGCACCGGCUAACUUCGUG
This 484-nucleotide ribosomal RNA is filed under the name uncultured bacterium. Its description in RNAcentral is "partial 16S ribosomal RNA". It matches the Rfam family "Bacterial small subunit ribosomal RNA", at positions 28 to 507 of the family's 1533-position model. The record is from RNAcentral.